UACGUAGGGGGCAAGCGUUGUCCGGAUUUACUGGGCGUAAAGAGCGUGUAGGCGGCCAUACAGGUCCGUUGUGAAAACUGGAGGCUUAACCUCCAGACGUCGAUGGAAACCGUAUGGCUAGAGUCCGGAAGAGGAGAGUGGAAUUCCUGGUGUAGCGGUGAAAUGCGCAGAUAUCAGGAAGAACACCCGUGGCGAAGGCGGCUCUCUGGGACGGUACUGACGCUGAGACGCGAAAGCGUGGGGAGCGAACAGG
RNAcentral lists this ribosomal RNA (253 nucleotides) under uncultured bacterium. RNAcentral describes it as "partial 16S ribosomal RNA". It matches the Rfam family "Bacterial small subunit ribosomal RNA", at positions 524 to 776 of the family's 1533-position model. The record is from RNAcentral.